This 434-nucleotide ribosomal RNA is filed under the name uncultured bacterium. Its description in RNAcentral is "partial 16S ribosomal RNA". It matches the Rfam family "Bacterial small subunit ribosomal RNA", at positions 29 to 507 of the family's 1533-position model. The record is from RNAcentral.
AGCGAACGCUGGCGGCAGGCCUAACACAUGCAAGUCGAACGAACCUUUCGGGGUUAGUGGCGGACGGGUGAGUAACACGUGGGAACGUGCCUUUAGGUUCGGAAUAACUCAGGGAAACUUGUGCUAAUACCGAAUGUGCCCUUCGGGGGAAAGAUUUAUCGCCUUUAGAGCGGCCCGCGUCUGAUUAGCUAGUUGGUUGAGGUAAUGGCUCACCAAGGCGACGAUCAGUAGCUGGUCUGAGAGGAUGAUCAGCCACAUUGGGACUGAGACACGGCCCAAACUCCUACGGGAGGCAGCAGUGGGGAAUCUUGCGCAAUGGGCGAAAGCCUGACGCAGCCAUGCCGCGUGAAUGAUGAAGGUCUUAGGAUUGUAAAAUUCUUUCACCGGGGACGAUAAUGACGGUACCCGGAGAAGAAGCCCCGGCUAACUACGUG